This 253-nucleotide ribosomal RNA is filed under the name uncultured bacterium. RNAcentral describes it as "partial 16S ribosomal RNA". It matches the Rfam family "Bacterial small subunit ribosomal RNA", at positions 524 to 776 of the family's 1533-position model. The record is from RNAcentral.
UACGUAGGGUGCAAGCGUUAAUCGGAAUUACUGGGCGGAAAGCGUGCGCAGGCGGUUUUGUAAGUCUGUCGUGAAAGCCCCGGGCUCAACCUGGGAAUUGCGAUGGAGACUGCAAGGCUUGAAUCUGGCAGAGGGGGGUAGAAUUCCACGUGUAGCAGUGAAAUGCGUAGAGAUGUGGAGGAACACCGAUGGCGAAGGCAGCCCCCUGGGUCAAGAUUGACACUCAUGCACGAAAGCGUGGGGAGCAAACAGG